AGAUUUUAAAUGAGUGCUAAGAGAAUGAUUAAACAAUUAAAAGCUUUCUUUAAUUGAAUAAUUGAAUUUAAUUUUUUAGUGCAAAAGCAAAAAUAAAAAUUAGGGACAAGAAGACCCUAUGAAUUUUUUAUUAAAUUUUAUAAAACUUUAUAUAAAAUUUAAUUUAAUUGGGGUGAUGGAAAAAGAAUAAAUAUCUUUUUUUUUAAAAAAAAUUGGUUCCGUUUUUAGCGAUUAAAUGAAAAAAAUACUCUAGGGAUAACAGCGUAAUAAUUUUGGAUAGUUCAUAUAGAUAAAAUAGUUUGCGACCUCGAUGUUGGAUUAGGAUUCUUUUUUGGUGAAGAAGUUAAAAAAAGAA
Molecule: ribosomal RNA, 355 nt
Filed under: Ixodes ricinus (castor bean tick)
Lineage: Eukaryota; Metazoa; Arthropoda; Arachnida; Ixodida; Ixodidae
Description: partial large subunit ribosomal RNA
Source: RNAcentral